GAAACCUGCAAAGCAGACCCGCGAACGUGUGUUUAACCACCGGGGGCGCCGAGGCGAGGGCAACCGAGCCUCGUCCCCCCGCUCGCCCGUUCGACGCUCGCGUCGUUCGGGCCAACGAACCCCGGCGCGGAAAGCGCCAAGGAAAACGAAACAAGAAGCGUCCGUCCCCCCGCUGCCCCGUUCGCGGGCGCCUGCGGGGGAMCGAGGCCUCUCUUUAAAUGUCAAAACGACUCUCGGCAACGGAUAUCUCGGCUCUCGCAUCGAUGAAGAACGUAGCGAAAUGCGAUACUUGGUGUGAAUUGCAGAAUCCCGUGAACCAUCGAGUCUUUGAACGCAAGUUGCGCCCGAAGCCAUUAGGCCGAGGGCACGUCUGCCUGGGCGUCACGCAUCGCGUCGCCCCCUCCCCAUCCCGUCUAAGGGAUGCUGGGACGGGGGCGGAAAUUGGCCUCCCGUGCGCGCGAGCUCGCGGCCGGCCCAAAUGCGAUCCCGCGUCGACGGAUGUCACGACCAGUGGUGGUUGGAAUCUCAACUCGCGUGCUGUCGUGCMCGGYUCYGUCGAUCGCUCGGGCAUCGUCGAGACCCAACGGCGCGUAACUGUGCCUUC
Molecule: ribosomal RNA, 604 nt
Filed under: Kickxia spuria
Lineage: Eukaryota; Viridiplantae; Streptophyta; Magnoliopsida; Lamiales; Plantaginaceae
Description: eukaryotic LSU rRNA
Rfam family: 5.8S ribosomal RNA (bases 229-384)
Source: RNAcentral